Molecule: ribosomal RNA, 391 nt
Filed under: Stramenopiles sp. MAST-4E
Lineage: Eukaryota
Description: partial small subunit ribosomal RNA
Rfam family: Eukaryotic small subunit ribosomal RNA
Source: RNAcentral
AUUCCAGCUCCAAUAGCGUAUAUUAAAGUUGUUGCAGUUAAAAAGCUCGUAGUUGGAUUUCUGGUUGAAGCGACCGGUCGGGCGUUGAUUCGUCUGCACUGGAGUCGGUUUUGGCCAUCCUCUAGGAAAGUGCGUCUGGUAUUAAGUUGUCGGGCGUAUGAUCCUGGUCUUUUACUGUGAAAAAAUUAGAGUGUUUAAAGCAGGCCUUCGCCUUGAAUACAUUAGCAUGGAAUAAUAAGAUAGGACUUUGGUCUAUUUUGUUGGUUUGCAGACCGAAGUAAUGAUUAAUAGGGAUAGUUGGGGGUAUUUAUAUUCCGAUGUCAGAGGUGAAAUUCUUAGAUUUUCGGAAGAUAAACUUAUGCGAAAGCAUUUACCAAGGAUGUUUUCAUUA